AAUUCUCAACCUUCCCAAUUUUGGGAUGGCUUGGACUUUGGAGGUUUUUGCUGGCUUCUUUAGAGAAGCCGGCUCCUCUUAAAUAAAUUAGUGGGGUCCUCUUCACCGAUCCCUCGACGUGAUAAGAUUUUCUACGUCCGAGGCCUUGGUCUCUGAGACCUGCUUCUAAUAUACCGUCUCUCCUUAGAGAUGUGAUUUUGAACC
RNAcentral lists this unclassified non-coding RNA (204 nucleotides) under uncultured Russulaceae. RNAcentral's name for it is "sequence contains ITS2". Lineage: Eukaryota; Fungi; Basidiomycota; Agaricomycetes; Russulales; Russulaceae. The record is from RNAcentral.